ACGGAGGGUGCGAGCGUUAAUCGGAAUCACUGGGCGUAAAGCGCACGUAGGCGGUGUCGUAAGUCGGAUGUGAAAGCCCUCGGCUCAACCGGGGAACUGCAUUCGAUACUGCGAUGCUUGAGUGCCGGAGAGGGUGGCGGAAUUCCAGGUGUGGGAGCGGACUCCGUAGAUAUCGGGAGGGACAUCAGUGGGGGAGGCGGUCACAUGGCCGGCAACUGACGCUGAGGUGCGAAAGCGUGGGGAUGAAACAG
RNAcentral lists this ribosomal RNA (251 nucleotides) under uncultured prokaryote. RNAcentral's name for it is "partial 16S rRNA". It matches the Rfam family "Bacterial small subunit ribosomal RNA", at positions 525 to 775 of the family's 1533-position model. The record is from RNAcentral.